UACGUAGGGUGCAAGCGUUAUCCGGAAUUAUUGGGCGUAAAGAGCUCGUAGGCGGUUUGUCGCGUCUGCUGUGAAAACCCGAGGCUCAACCUCGGGCCUGCAGUGGGUACGGGCAGACUAGAGUGCGGUAGGGGAGAAUGGAAUUCCUGGUGUAGCGGUGGAAUGCGCAGAUAUCAGGAGGAACACCGAUGGCGAAGGCAGUUCUCUGGGCCGUAACUGACGCUGAGGAGCGAAAGCGUGGGGAGCAAACAGG
RNAcentral lists this ribosomal RNA (253 nucleotides) under uncultured bacterium. RNAcentral's name for it is "partial 16S ribosomal RNA". It matches the Rfam family "Bacterial small subunit ribosomal RNA", at positions 524 to 776 of the family's 1533-position model. The record is from RNAcentral.